AGUGAACGCUGGCGGCAGGCCUAACACAUGCAAGUCGAACGGCAGCACAGUAAGAGCUUGCUCUUACGGGUGGCGAGUGGCGGACGGGUGAGGAAUACAUCGGAAUCUACUUUUUCGUGGGGGAUAACGUAGGGAAACUUACGCUAAUACCGCAUACGACCUACGGGUGAAAGCAGGGGAUCUUCGGACCUUGCGCGAUUGAAUGAGCCGAUGUCGGAUUAGCUAGUUGGCGGGGUAAAGGCCCACCAAGGCGACGAUCCGUAGCUGGUCUGAGAGGAUGGUCGCCCACACUGGAACUGAGACACGGUCCAGACUCCUGCGGGAGGCAGCAGUCGGGAAUAUUGGACAAUGGGCGCAAGCCUGAUCCAACCAUACCGCGUGGGUGAAGAAGGCCUUCGGGUUGUAAAGCCCUUUUGUUGGGAGAGAAAAGCAGCAGGUUAAUACCCCGCUGUUCUGACGGUACCCGAAGAAUAAGCACCGGCUAACUUCGUG
RNAcentral lists this ribosomal RNA (492 nucleotides) under uncultured bacterium. Its description in RNAcentral is "partial 16S ribosomal RNA". It matches the Rfam family "Bacterial small subunit ribosomal RNA", at positions 29 to 507 of the family's 1533-position model. The record is from RNAcentral.